RNAcentral lists this transfer RNA (70 nucleotides) under Phobaeticus serratipes. RNAcentral describes it as "tRNA-Ser". Lineage: Eukaryota; Metazoa; Arthropoda; Insecta; Phasmatodea; Phasmatidae. The record is from RNAcentral.
GGGAAUAUGAUUGAUCAAAUAAUAGCCGCUAACUAAUUAUUUUUACGGUUAAAUACCGUUUAUAUUCCUA